Long non-coding RNA from Corapipo altera (White-ruffed manakin), 926 nucleotides. RefSeq lists it as uncharacterized. The record is from RefSeq and is a predicted model, not a curated record. The transcript has 3 exons. NCBI's taxonomy places the organism in Eukaryota, Metazoa, Chordata, Aves, Passeriformes, Pipridae.
UACAGCCAGCAGAUCUCCUAACACUGGAGAAAUCCUUUCUGUAAGAAGGUCGCUUGGUGGUUUCUGUGUCACAAGAUGAAUGCCAUUGUUUGGAUUAAUAAAAAGACCAUUACAUGACAGAGCUCUGCAAGCUUCAUGAAGGUUUGAAGUCUCAAAAUGAGGAAGUCUCCCUAAGCCUUUUCAUCUCUAUAAUAGAAAAAGAAAAUGGUAAUGGGUUCUUGGCUUGAGAUCCUUCACUGCUGUCUGGGUGGCAGUGCUGCACCAUAUUUAGCAGUUCCAUAAAGUCUGCAGAUUUACAAACUUCAAGGAAAUGUCAGAAUGCCAUAUCAUCAAUGCACAACAUUUGAAGUGGAGGUGGCCAAAAUUCCAGUUUUCUUCACUAGGUUCACCAAAGGAUCAGAGGGAAUUUUCACCUCCUAGAUUGGAUUAUGUGCUCUGGACAUGACAUACAAUACAUGCUAAAAAUGAAACCUGGGAACACAGCAUCCUUUCUAGUGCCUUCUUUUCUGCUGGAAGAUAAUCUCAUCUGCAGAGUGGUGAUGUGCAACAGUACAGUCACCUUGUCACAAGAAGCAGCUGUCAGGACUGAACCUGCAUAGCCAAGUCCACCUAGUUGACAGAUUGUUAGCAAGCAACAAGUCUGAGAAAGCCCUGCCUAAAAGAGGUGAAACUAAAUCUCCCUACCAUUUUUCAGUUAACUGAAGAGAAGAAAAUGUAAUGCGUGAAACUAGGUAGAAAGAGCUAUGAAAAGAAAUGUCUUCAUAUGCAAUACUCACACAUCCUCUUAUGGAAUUGUUUUUGUGGAAGAGCAUGUGGGUUGAAGUGAAAAGGAAGUGUGUUCAGCAGAAUUAGUGUCUCAUACAAAACCGAGCGUAGUUGUUGUAUAAUCAUAGAAUGGUUUGGGUUGGAAAGGAAUCUAAAGAUCA